This 428-nucleotide ribosomal RNA is filed under the name Gemmatimonadota bacterium. RNAcentral's name for it is "Gemmatimonadetes bacterium partial 16S ribosomal RNA". It matches the Rfam family "Bacterial small subunit ribosomal RNA", at positions 355 to 776 of the family's 1533-position model. Lineage: Bacteria; Pseudomonadati; Gemmatimonadota. The record is from RNAcentral.
UAGGGAAUCUUCGGCAAUGGACGAAAGUCUGACCGAGCAACGCCGCGUGAGUGAAGAAGGUUUUCGGAUCGUAAAACUCUGUUGUUAGAGAAGAACAAGGACGUUAGUAACUGAACGUCCCCUCACGGUAUCUAACCAGAAAGCCACGGCUAACUACGUUCCAGCAGCCGCGGUAAUACGUAGGUGGCAAGCGUUGUCCGGAUUUAUUGGGCGUAAAGCGAGCGCAGGCGGUUUCUUAAGUCUGAUGUUAAAGCCCCCGGCUCAACCGGGAGGGUCAUUGGAAACUGGGAGACUUGAGUGCAGAAGAGGAGAGGGGAAUUCCAUGUGUAGCGGUGAAAUGCGUAGAUAUAUGGAGGAACACCAGUGGCGAAGGCGGCACUCUGGUCUGAAACUGACGCUGAGGCUCGAAAGCGUGGGGAGCAAACAGG